ACUCCUACGGGAGGCAGCAGUGGGGAAUAUUGGACAAUGGGCGCAAGCCUGAUCCAGCCAUACCGCGUGGGUGAAGAAGGCCUUCGGGUUGUAAAGCCCUUUUGUUGGGAAAGAAAUCCAGCUGGCUAAUACCCGGUUGGGAUGACGGUACCCAAAGAAUAAGCACCGGCUAACUUCGUGCCAGCAGCCGCGGUAAUACGAAGGGUGCAAGCGUUACUCGGAAUUACUGGGCGUAAAGCGUGCGUAGGUGGUCGUUUAAGUCCGUUGUGAAAGCCCUGGGCUCAACCUGGGAACUGCAGUGGAUACUGGACGACUAGAGUGUGGUAGAGGGUAGCGGAAUUCCUGGUGUAGCAGUGAAAUGCGUAGAGAUCAGGAGGAACAUCCAUGGCGAAGGCAGCUACCUGGACCAACACUGACACUGAGGCACGAAAGCGUGGGGAGCAAACAGGAUUAGAUACCCUGGUAGUCCACGCCCUAAACGAUGCGAACUGGAUGUUGGGUGCAAUCUGGCACGCAGUAUCGAAGCUAACGCGUUAAGUUCGCCGCCUGGGGAGUACGGUCGCAAGACUGAAUCUCAAAGGAACUGACGGGGGCCCCCACAAGCGGUGGAGCAUGUGG
RNAcentral lists this ribosomal RNA (618 nucleotides) under uncultured bacterium. RNAcentral's name for it is "bacterial SSU rRNA". It matches the Rfam family "Bacterial small subunit ribosomal RNA", at positions 335 to 944 of the family's 1533-position model. The record is from RNAcentral.